AGAUUAAGUUAUUAAGGGCGCACGGUGGAUGCCUUGGCACUAGAAGCCGAUGAAGGACGUUACUAACGACGAUAUGCUUUGGGUAGCUGUAAGUAAGCGUUGAUCCAGAGAUUUCCGAAUGGGGGAACCCAGCAUGAGUUAUGUCAUGUUAUCGACAUGUGAAUUUAUAGCAUGUCAGAAGGCAGACCCGGAGAACUGAAACAUCUUAGUACCCGGAGGAAGAGAAAGAAAAAUCGAUUCCCUGAGUAGCGGCGAGCGAAACGGGAAGAGCCCAAACCAACAAGCUUGCUUGUUGGGGUUGUAGGACACUCUAUACGGAGUUACAAAAGAACAUGUUAGACGAAUCAUCUGGAAAGAUGAAUCAAAGAAGGUAAUAAUCCUGUAGUCGAAAACAUAUUCUCUCUUGAGUGGAUCCUGAGUACGACGGAGCACGUGAAAUUCCGUCGGAAUCUGGGAGGACCAUCUCCUAAGGCUAAAUACUCUCUAGUGACCGAUAGUGAACCAGUACCGUGAGGGAAAGGUGAAAAGUACCCCGGAAGGGGAGUGAAAGAGAACUUGAAACCGUGUGCUUACAAGUAGUCAGAGCCCGUUAAUGGGUGAUGGCGUGCCUUUUGUAGAAUGAACCGGCGAGUUACGAUCUGAUGCAAGGUUAAGCAGCAAAUGUGGAGCCGCAGCGAAAGCGAGUCUGAAUAGGGCGUUGAGUAUUUGGUCGUAGACCCGAAACCAGGUGAUCUACCCUUGGUCAGGUUGAAGUUCAGGUAACACUGAAUGGAGGACCGAACCGACUUACGUUGAAAAGUGAGCGGAUGAACUGAGGGUAGCGGAGAAAUUCCAAUCGAACUUGGAGAUAGCUGGUUCUCUCCGAAAUAGCUUUAGGGCUAGCCUCAAGUGAUGAUUAUUGGAGGUAGAGCACUGUUUGGACGAGGGGCCCCUCUCGGGUUACCGAAUUCAGACAAACUCCGAAUGCCAAUUAAUUUAACUUGGGAGUCAGAACAUGGGUGAUAAGGUCCGUGUUCGAAAGGGAAACAGCCCAGACCACCAGCUAAGGUCCCAAAAUAUAUGUUAAGUGGAAAAGGAUGUGGCGUUGCCCAGACAACUAGGAUGUUGGCUUAGAAGCAGCCAUCAUUUAAAGAGUGCGUAAUAGCUCACUAGUCGAGUGACACUGCGCCGAAAAUGUACCGGGGCUAAACAUAUUACCGAAGCUGUGGAUUGUCCUUUGGACAAUGGUAGGAGAGCGUUCUAAGGGCGUCGAAGCAUGAUCGCAAGGACAUGUGGAGCGCUUAGAAGUGAGAAUGCCGGUGUGAGUAGCGAAAGACGGGUGAGAAUCCCGUCCACCGAUUGACUAAGGUUUCCAGAGGAAGGCUCGUCCGCUCUGGGUUAGUCGGGUCCUAAGCUGAGGCCGACAGGCGUAGGCGAUGGAUAACAGGUUGAUAUUCCUGUACCACCUAGUAUCGUUUUAAUCGAUGGGGGGACGCAGUAGGAUAGGCGAAGCGUGCUGUUGGAGUGCACGUCCAAGCAGUAAGGCUGAGUGUUAGGCAAAUCCGGCACUCAUAAGGCUGAGCUGUGAUGGGGAGAGGAAAUUGUUUCCUCGAGUCGUUGAUUUCACACUGCCGAGAAAAGCCUCUAGAUAGAUAACAG
This 1638-nucleotide ribosomal RNA is filed under the name Listeria monocytogenes. RNAcentral describes it as "partial 23S ribosomal RNA". It matches the Rfam family "Bacterial large subunit ribosomal RNA", at positions 1 to 1637 of the family's 2925-position model. The record is from RNAcentral. Lineage: Bacteria; Bacillati; Bacillota; Bacilli; Caryophanales; Listeriaceae.